This 549-nucleotide ribosomal RNA is filed under the name uncultured Glomeromycotina. Its description in RNAcentral is "SSU rRNA". It matches the Rfam family "Eukaryotic small subunit ribosomal RNA", at positions 548 to 1098 of the family's 1831-position model. Lineage: Eukaryota; Fungi; Glomeromycota. The record is from RNAcentral.
UUGGAGGGCAAGUCUGGUGCCAGCAGCCGCGGUAAUUCCAGCUCCAAUAGCGUAUAUUAAAGUUGUUGCAGUUAAAAAGCUCGUAGUUGAAUUUCGGGGUCAGUAGGUUGGUCGUGCCUAUGGUAUGUACUGGCUUUACUGAUUCCUCCUUCUUGAAGAACUGUAAUGUCAUUAAUUUGGUGUUGCAGGGAAACAGGACUGUUACUUUGAAAAAAUUAGAGUGUUUAAAGCAGGCUAACGCUUGAAUACAUUAGCAUGGAAUAAUGAAAUAGGACGUUUGAUCCUAUUUUGUUGGUUUCUAGGAUUGACGUAAUGAUUAAUAGGGAUAGUUGGGGGCAUUAGUAUUCAAUUGUCAGAGGUGAAAUUCUUGGAUUUAUUGAAGACUAACUACUGCGAAAGCAUUUGCCAAGGAUGUUUUCAUUAAUCAAGAACGAAAGUUAGGGGAUCGAAGACGAUCAGAUACCGUCGUAGUCUUAACCAUAAACUAUGCCGACUAGGGAUCGGAUGAUGUUAAUUUUUUAAUGACUCAUUCGGCGCCUUACGGGAAAC